RNAcentral lists this ribosomal RNA (472 nucleotides) under uncultured bacterium. RNAcentral describes it as "bacterial SSU rRNA". It matches the Rfam family "Bacterial small subunit ribosomal RNA", at positions 355 to 825 of the family's 1533-position model. The record is from RNAcentral.
UGGGGAAUAUUGGACAAUGGGCGAAAGCCUGAUCCAGCCAUGCCGCGUGUGUGAAGAAGGUCUUCGGAUUGUAAAGCACUUUAAGUUGGGAGGAAGGGCAGUAAAUUAAUACUUUGCUGUUUUGACGUUACCGACAGAAUAAGCACCGGCUAACUCUGUGCCAGCAGCCGCGGUAAUACAGAGGGUGCAAGCGUUAAUCGGAAUUACUGGGCGUAAAGCGCGCGUAGGUGGUUCGUUAAGUUGGAUGUGAAAUCCCCGGGCUCAACCUGGGAACUGCAUUCAAAACUGACGAGCUAGAGUAUGGUAGAGGGUGGUGGAAUUUCCUGUGUAGCGGUGAAAUGCGUAGAUAUAGGAAGGAACACCAGUGGCGAAGGCGACCACCUGGACUGAUACUGACACUGAGGUGCGAAAGCGUGGGGAGCAAACAGGAUUAGAUACCCAUGUAGUCCCUGAGCGGGCUGGCAAGGCGCAU